Molecule: long non-coding RNA, 1446 nt
Organism: Brassica napus (rape)
Lineage: Eukaryota; Viridiplantae; Streptophyta; Magnoliopsida; Brassicales; Brassicaceae
Exons: 3
Source: RefSeq, a predicted model, not a curated record
CAAAUUUGUGGAGAAUGUUUUUUUCGAACAUUGGUAGACUAAUAUUUUAUAUGGAGAGGAGAAAGCGAGUGCAAUUAUAUGCUUUAUAUUAUUGCCAUUAGUUCAAUGCAGCUAUAUGGAGAGGAGCAGGUGACUGCAAUUGCAAGCAAGAAGCUCACCUGAGAAGGCAGUUAGUUCAUCACAAUGUCAGUAGAAAGUAGAAGCUGACCAGAAGAAAGAAGGUGAUGAUGAAAUCUACCUGCGAUCAAUAGCCCCAUGAGACCAACAUCCUUGAGAGGAACACUCUGCACUCUCUCGCUUCAAAGCUAACAACAAAUCUCUAAGGUAAUUUCUGAACUAAUCUCCUAAUCAUAUAUCUUUCUUUUUGUUUGGUCAAAAUCUCCUAAUAAUAUAUCUAUAUACUAACUUAAAGAGUGGAAACAAAAAAUAAACUGGACUAGGGUUUGGUCAAUGCAUUAAAAACAGAUGCAAGAAGUACAUCAGAUAUGAAUCAUGCAAGCAGGACAAGAGUCAGGGGAAGUAUCACUAAGGCAGAUCCAUGAUGAUGAUAGAUUUUGAUAAAAGGUUAGUGGAUUUACUUAGUUACGUAACAGCAGAUUUUGGUUGUAGUAGUUAUGUAACUUUCACAUUUACUCUCUUCAUAUUUAAAUGCCUCUUUCGCUGCAUUCAUCAUCCAUUUAAGUUAGCCUUCAGGCACUUAAAUCGCAGAGACACAGCUAGGCUUUGCGGUCUCAGUAGCGAUUGCGGUUUGCAUUUUGUGCUCUCCACAGGCCACUCUCCCUUCACUACUUCUCUUUGAUAAAUUCCAUUACAUUUACGUAGAAAGCCGCAUUGGUUCUCAAUGUCUCAUGGAUCCCAUUACACCUUGCACUUGAAAAGGAACAAAACAACUUCAAGAAAUAAGGAAGAAGAGCAGAAGUUGUGUCAUGCUGUUUUGGCUGCUAAUCAUUUCAUGUGUAUGGGUGCGAGCAAGGAGUUGAAAAAAACCAAAAUCUUCUACAACUUCAACUGGUGAUCUUGGAAUUGGGCUUGAACAGCUUCAUCUAAUGUCAAAAGUUAAGAACAUUGCUUCUCUGCAGCUAUAUGGAGAGGAGCAAGCGAGUCUAAUUUCAAGCAAACAACUUCACCAUAGAACGCAGUUCAUCACAAUGCCAGUACGAAUAAGAAGUCAGAUCAGAAAAUUAUGUCCUUUUCGGGUCUAAGCUCUGUCUCUUCUUCAAUAAGAAGAUCAAAGAAAACGACGGCCAUUGCACAAGUCGUUUAUCUCCAUCGUUUGGACUUGACAUAGCACUUCAUAGAAAGGGAAUAGAAUUUUCAUAAAUCAUUAUUGUUUUUUUUAUGUUGCAUUAGUUUUCAGUUAGGUCAAUUUCUCAAAUGAAAAAUAAGUUUUUGAAAUUAUGAUACAUAUAAAUGUACGUUUUAAACUUUGUCAAAAUAUCAUGACAA